RNAcentral lists this ribosomal RNA (492 nucleotides) under uncultured bacterium. Its description in RNAcentral is "partial 16S ribosomal RNA". It matches the Rfam family "Bacterial small subunit ribosomal RNA", at positions 29 to 507 of the family's 1533-position model. The record is from RNAcentral.
AGUGAACGCUGGCGGUAGGCCUAACACAUGCAAGUCGAACGGCAGCACAGUAAGAGCUUGCUCUUACGGGUGGCGAGUGGCGGACGGGUGAGGAAUACAUCGGAAUCUACUUUUUCGUGGGGGAUAACGUAGGGAAACUUACGCUAAUACCGCUUACGACCUACGGGUGAAAGCCGGGGAUCUUCGGACCUUGCGCGUUUGAAUGAGCCGAUGUCGGAUUAGGUAGUUGGCGGGGUAAAGGCCCACCAAGGCGACGAUCCGUAGCUGGUCUGAGAGGAUGAGCAGCCACACUGGAACUGAGACACGGUCCAGACUCCUACGGGAGGCAGCAGUGGGGAAUAUUGGACAAUGGGCGCAAGCCUGAUCCAGCCAUACCGCGUGGGUGAAGAAGGCCUUCGGGUUGUAAAGCCCUUUUGUUGGGAAAGAAAAGCAGCAGGUUAAUACCCCGCUGUUCUGACGGUACCCAAAGAAUAAGCACCGGCUAACUUCGUG